AAGGAACUCUUUUUGUGGACAAUGCACCUAAGACCAUCUCCGUUGGGGGUCUUUUAAAAGAGGUUCUAAACAGAAGUGAAAAAAAAAAAUGAAAAAGCCCAAAAAAGAAGAACAGCCGCUUAACUUGGGCCUUUUAGAGCUGGUAAGAAUCCCUAACGUGUCAGUUUGGUAUUGGACAGCCCCCACCGACUUCGUCAGCUUCGGCGAGAUGCUCAUCGACUUCGUCCCCACCGAGUCCGGCGUCUCCCUCGCCGAGGCUCCAGUUUUCCUCAAAGCUCCCGGCGGCGCUCCGGCUAUCGUCGCCAUCGCCGUUUCUCGCUUCGGUGGACAAUCCGCCUUCGGCGGAAAACUCGGCGACAACGAGUUCGGCCACAUGUUGGCUGGGAUCCUGAGGAAAAACGGCGUCGCUGAUCAGGAGUUUAACUUCGAUACCGGAGCCAGAACCGCCUUGGCGUUCGUGACGUUGAAGGCCGACGGUGAUCGGGAAUUUGUGUUUUACUGGAAUCAUAGCGCCGAUAUGUUGCUCCGUCCCGAUGAACUCAACCUCGAGCUCAUCAGAUCGGUACGUAAAUCUCUUCUCUCUCUAUCCCUCAUGAUAUUCAAGAGAUCCAGAUGGAAGUAGAGAUUCAUAGUGUAGUUUUUUUUAAUUUUUGUAUAGAGUUAAAGAGAUGUGUAAGUAUAUGGAAUCGGUGAUUAUUGAUUGCUCUGAAUAACGUAGAAGAUGAUCUCACUCACUCUAAUGGGAUAUGUAUCAAUUAAUGCUAACUAACGGUGACUUUUGUUAUCUUCCUCUUGAGGUUAUGAUGAAGAUCAGAAGAGAGAAGCUUCAAGAGAAAGCAAGGAUGGAGGAAAGGAUGAAACUCAGAUGGUAGUAUCUGAAUUUAGCUUCACAUGAUCACACCAAUUCUACUUGGUUUAGCCUUUUAUCUGAUCUAGCAGAAGUCUCUGUUUUGAAGGAACUUGACUUUUACUCAUGCACCGUUUUGACUUCUCUGAUUCCGUUGAGUGAGUUCUCGGAAGCUGCAGUGAUGAAGAAGUAUGGAGUGCAGCCAGAUGCUGAAACCCUUGACAUUCCCAACACUGCCGCUAGGCAGAAAUCUGUAAGCUUCUUCUUUCCCUUUUUUUUUGGAUGGAUGAAUCUCUCUUCAAAGCCUUGUCAAACGGUAACCGUGGCCUUGGUGGUCUUAAGAGGAUGAUAAUGGGAAGCGUAAGCAACCAUGUUGUGAACAACGUCGCAUGCCAUGUUACCGCCGUGAAGGCUCACCACUGAGCUCUGUUUUGAUAUUGCUCGGGGAACCUGAUAACCGGUGUAUGUCCUAAGAUUUUUGUAUCGUAAUCUGUAUUCUCAACUCUUGUGUGACUUGUAUGUUGUUUAAAUUGUGCAUCAUUGUGCAUAAAAAAUAAAGUUUUUAAGAACCUCAAAGAGGUUCUGCCAUUA
Brassica napus (rape) is the source of this 1438-nucleotide RNA transcript. It is a transcript of the gene named probable fructokinase-1, with no coding region annotated. The transcript has 3 exons. Lineage: Eukaryota; Viridiplantae; Streptophyta; Magnoliopsida; Brassicales; Brassicaceae. The record is from RefSeq and is a predicted model, not a curated record.